CCUACGGGGUGCAGCAGUGAGGAAUAUUGGUCAAUGGACGCAAGUCUGAACCAGCCAUGCCGCGUGCAGGAAGACGGCUCUAUGAGUUGUAAAUUGCUUUUGUACGAGGGUAAACGCAGAUACGCGUAUCUGUCUGAAAGUAUCGUACGAAUAAGGAUCGGCUAACUCCGUGCCAGCAGCCGCGGUAAUACGGAGGAUUCAAGCGUUAUCCGGAUUUAUUGGGUUUAAAGGGUGCGUAGGCGGUCGGAUAAGUUAGAGGUGAAAUCCCGAGGCUCAACUUCGGAAUUGCCUCUGAUACUGUUAGGCUAGAGAGUAGUGGAGGUAGGCGGAAUGUAUGGUGUAGCGGUGAAAUGCUUAGAGAUCAUACAGAACACCGAUUGCGAAGGCAGCUUACCAAGCUACUUCUGACGUUGAGGCACGAAAGCGUGGGGAGCAAACAGGAUUAGAUACCCCGGUAGUC
RNAcentral lists this ribosomal RNA (460 nucleotides) under uncultured bacterium. RNAcentral's name for it is "partial 16S ribosomal RNA". It matches the Rfam family "Bacterial small subunit ribosomal RNA", at positions 338 to 795 of the family's 1533-position model. The record is from RNAcentral.